CACGCAGGCGGACUGUCAAGUCAGAUGUGAAAACCAGGGGCUCAACCCCUGGCCUGCAUUUGAAACUGACAGCCUUGAGUACCGGAGAGGAUGGCGGAAUUCCUGGUGUAGCGGUGAAAUGCGUAGAUAUCAGGAAGAACACCGGUGGCGAAGGCGGCCAUCUGGACGGAUACUGACGCUCAGGUGCGAAGGCUAGGGGAGCAAACAGGAUUAGAUACCCUGGUAGUCC
Molecule: ribosomal RNA, 229 nt
Filed under: uncultured bacterium
Lineage: Bacteria
Description: partial 16S ribosomal RNA
Rfam family: Bacterial small subunit ribosomal RNA
Source: RNAcentral